Molecule: ribosomal RNA, 462 nt
Filed under: uncultured bacterium
Lineage: Bacteria
Description: partial 16S ribosomal RNA
Rfam family: Bacterial small subunit ribosomal RNA
Source: RNAcentral
AGUGAACGCUGGCGGCGUGCCUAAUACAUGCAAGUCGAACGAACGAAUAAGACCUUGCUCUUAUACGUUAGUGGCGCACGGGUGAGUAAUAUAUAGCUAAUCUGCCUCUUAGUAGAGGAUAACAGUCGGAAACGAUUGCUAAUACUCUAUACUUCUGCUUUACAUAAGUAAAGUAGAGAAAGUUUUUCGCUAAGAGAUGAGGCUAUACUGUAUCAGCUAGUUGGUAAGGUAACGGCUUACCAAGGCUAUGACGCAUAACUGGUCUGAGAGGAUGAUCAGUCACAUUGGAACUGAGACACGGUCCAAACACCUACGGGAGGCAGCAGUAGGGAAUAUUGCGGAAUGGGGGAAACCCUGACGCAGCAACGGCGCGUGGAGGAUGACACUUGUCGGAGCGUAAACUCCUUUUAUCGGGAAAGAAUAAUGACGGUACCGGAUGAAUAAGCACCGGCUAACUCCGUG